This 530-nucleotide long non-coding RNA is filed under the name Cyanistes caeruleus (blue tit). RNAcentral describes it as "lncRNA (ENSCCEG00000017801.1)". The record is from RNAcentral. Lineage: Eukaryota; Metazoa; Chordata; Aves; Passeriformes; Paridae.
GUGGGAAGGACCAAGCCAAGGAGGAGUUUGCACCAUGGGUGAUCUCCAGAAGGAUCCUGAGCCCAGUUAAUUCCCAGUACCCCGAUGGGAAUCAGCAAACGUCCUGGAGCAGAGGAGCUGCACAAGCCAAAGUGGGAAAUACAAGUGAUCCCUUGGGAAGGCUCUUCUCUGCAGAACUCAGCCCAGGGAUCUGGGACAUCUCCAGGAUCUGGGACUUUCUGCUUCCAGAAUCGUUUCAGGUUGGUGGAAAGGAUGGGGCACCGAGUUUGGAUGAUGCUGAGGCUGGGGAGGGAAGGAAACAGCAGCACCCAUGUUUGUGGGUGUGAAUAAAUGUCAGAAUGAAUUCUGGGGCUCCAUGAAAUGAGAGAAGGCCCUUCCUGAUCAGGCAGCAAAAUGCAGGUGGAACCAAUGAGAGAGAAAUCCCAGAGGUGAAUCCAUGGAAACCUGUCCUUAAUCCCAUGAAGGAUCCCUAGAAAGCUGAAAAUCUCAGUACAAAAAGAACUGAGAGUGUCCUGCCUGUUGAACUUCCA